AAACUUCUUUUUUUCUUUUCAUUAAUGCUCAUCAUACAAAUAGUUUUUGAAGUUCUUCCUUCUACAAUUCCCCUCUCAAUUAGCACUCUCUCUAUGUUACGUACAUACUUAGCACUAAGCAAUAUUAUAGUAAUUAUUUGAUCCCUUCAAUGUUUCCCCAUCAUCAAGAAAACUAAAAGAAGACCCAACCAAGUUAAUUAAUCUCUUCGUAAUAAGGAAUAAGAAUAUAGUAAAUACUAAACCCAAAACGACCCUCGUCGUUAACACCUACCUCGAGUUGCCGGAGCCACCUUUUCCAACACCCAUCUGAUGAUGAUACCCACCGGCGCCGUACACGUGCCCUUGAUGAUGUCCCAUCAUCAUCAUCCCUCCAUACAUACCUUGACCACCGCCAUUAAACCCUCCUCCUGCUCCACCAACACCGCCUGAACUCACCCCUCCACCAGACCCACCUCCACNNCCACUAGCAGCGGCACCACCUCCACCAGACCCACCAGCACCAUCCUUUUCUCCUUGCCUGCCCAUGGAGCUCUUCUCUCCUUCCAUCUCCCUAUACUUCUGCAAAUAAAUCUUCAAGGGCUCCAC
RNAcentral lists this unclassified non-coding RNA (585 nucleotides) under Hevea brasiliensis (rubber tree). The record is from RNAcentral. Lineage: Eukaryota; Viridiplantae; Streptophyta; Magnoliopsida; Malpighiales; Euphorbiaceae.